CUACGGGAUGCUGCAGUGAGGAAUAUUGCACAAUGGGGGGAACCCUGAUGCAGCAACGCCGCGUGGAGGAUGACGCAUUUCGGUGUGUAAACUCCUUUUAUAUGUCAAGAAAAUGACGGUAGCAUAUGAAUAAGCACCGGCUAACUCCGUGCCAGCAGCCGCGGUAAUACGGAGGGUGCGAGCGUUACUCGGGAUCACUGGGCGUAAAGGACGCGUAGGCGGGUUGGAAAGUCAGGUGUGAAAUCCUACAGCUUAACUGUAGAACUGCACUUGAAACUUCUAAUCUAGAGUAUGGGAGGGGGAGAUGGAAUUAGUGGUGUAGGGGUAAAAUCCGUAGAUAUCACUAGGAAUACCUAAAGCGAAGGCGAUCUCCUGGAACAUUACUGACGCUAAGGCGUGAAAGCGUGGGGAGCAAACAGGAUUAGAUACCCCAGUAGUC
This 439-nucleotide ribosomal RNA is filed under the name uncultured bacterium. RNAcentral's name for it is "partial 16S ribosomal RNA". It matches the Rfam family "Bacterial small subunit ribosomal RNA", at positions 339 to 795 of the family's 1533-position model. The record is from RNAcentral.